Molecule: ribosomal RNA, 62 nt
Filed under: uncultured Sarcina sp.
Lineage: Bacteria; Bacillati; Bacillota; Clostridia; Eubacteriales; Clostridiaceae
Description: partial 16S ribosomal RNA
Source: RNAcentral
UCUUGCCUCCCGUAGGAGUCUGGACCGUGUCUCAGUUCCAAAUCGAAUUCCCGCUGCCACAU